Small nuclear RNA from Pteronotus mesoamericanus, 157 nucleotides. RefSeq annotates it as U1 spliceosomal RNA. The transcript has a single exon. NCBI's taxonomy places the organism in Eukaryota, Metazoa, Chordata, Mammalia, Chiroptera, Mormoopidae. The record is from RefSeq and is a predicted model, not a curated record.
AGCCUUAGGGGAGAUACCAUGAUGAGGAAGGUGGUGUUCCCAGGGUGAGGCUCACCCAUUGCACUCUGGGUAUGCUGACCCCUGCAGUUUCCCCAAAACUGGGAAACUCGACUGCAUAACUUGUGGUAGUGCGGGACUGCAUUCACACUCUCCCCUG